UACGUAGGGGGCAAGCGUUGUCCGGAUUUAUUGGGCGUAAAGAGCGUGUAGGCGGUUAGGUAGGUCCGUUGUGAAAACUCGAGGCUCAACCUCGAGACGCCGAUGGAAACCAUCUGACUAGAGUCCGGAAGAGGAGAGUGGAAUCCUGGUGUAGCGGUGAAAUGCGCAGAUAUCAGGAAGAACACCCGUGGCUAAGGCGGCUCUCUAGUACGGUACUGACGCUGAGACGCGAAAGCGUGGGGAGCGAACAGG
This 252-nucleotide ribosomal RNA is filed under the name uncultured bacterium. RNAcentral's name for it is "partial 16S ribosomal RNA". It matches the Rfam family "Bacterial small subunit ribosomal RNA", at positions 524 to 776 of the family's 1533-position model. The record is from RNAcentral.